This 464-nucleotide ribosomal RNA is filed under the name uncultured bacterium. RNAcentral describes it as "partial 16S ribosomal RNA". It matches the Rfam family "Bacterial small subunit ribosomal RNA", at positions 339 to 795 of the family's 1533-position model. The record is from RNAcentral.
CUACGGGUUGCAGCAGUGGGGAAUAUUGCACAAUGGGCGCAAGCCUGAUGCAGCCAUGCCGCGUGUAUGAAGAAGGCCUUCGGGUUGUAAAGUACUUUCAGCGGGGAGGAAGGGAGUAAAGCUAAUACCUUUACUCAUUGACGUUACCCGCAGAAGAAGCACCGGCUAACUCCGUGCCAGCAGCCGCGGUAAUACGGAGGGUGCAAGCGUUAAUCGGAAUUACUGGGCGUAAAGCGCACGCAGGCGGUUUGUUAAGUCAGAUGUGAAAUCCCCGGGCUCAACCUGGGAACUGCAUCUGAUACUGGCAAGCUUGAGUGUCGUAGAGGGGGGGAGAAUUCCAGGUGUAGCGGUGAAAUGCGUAGAGAUCUGGAGGAAUACCGGUGGCGAAGGCGGCCCCCUGGACGAAGACUGACGCUCAGGUGCGAAAGCGUGGGGAGCAAACAGGAUUAGAUACCCUCGUAGUC